AGUAACGGCGAGUGAAGCGGCAACAGCUCAAAUUUGAAAUCUGGCGUCUUUGGCGUCCGAGUUGUAAUUUGCAGAGGGCGCUUUGGCAUUGGCAGCGGUCCAAGUUCCUUGGAACAGGACGUCACAGAGGGUGAGAAUCCCGUACGUGGUCGCUAGCCUUUACCGUGUAAAGCCCCUUCGACGAGUCGAGUUGUUUGGGAAUGCAGCUCUAAAUGGGAGGUAAAUUUCUUCUAAAGCUAAAUACUGGCCAGAGACCGAUAGCGCACAAGUAGAGUGAUCGAAAGAUGAAAAGCACUUUGGAAAGAGAGUUAAAAAGCACGUGAAAUUGUUGAAAGGGAAGCGCUUGCAGCCAGACUUGCCUGUAGUUGCUCAUCCGGGUUUCUACCCGGUGCACUCUUCUAUAGGCAGGCCAGCAUCAGUUUGGGCGGUUGGAUAAAGGUCUCUGUCAUGUACCUCCUUUCGGGGAGAACUUAUAGGGGAGACGACAUGCAACCAGCCUGGACUGAGGUCCGCGCAUCUGCUAGGAUGCUGGCGUAAUGGCUGUAAGCGGCCCGUCUUGAAACACGGACCAAGGAGUCUAACAUCUAUGCGAGUGUUUGGGUGUCAAGCCCGAGCGCGUAAUGAAAGUGAACGGAGGUGGGAACCUUUCGGGGUGCACCAUCGACCGAUCCUGAUGUCUUCGGAUGGAUUUGAGUAAGAGCAUAGCUGUUGGGACCCGAAAGAUGGUGAACUAUGCUUGAAUAGGGUGAAGCCAGAGGAAACUCUGGUGGAGGCUCGCAGCGGUUCUGACGUGCAAAUCGAUCGUCAAAUUUGGGCAUAGGGGCGAAAGACUA
RNAcentral lists this ribosomal RNA (833 nucleotides) under Pseudopithomyces chartarum. RNAcentral describes it as "partial 28S ribosomal RNA". It matches the Rfam family "Eukaryotic large subunit ribosomal RNA", at positions 82 to 933 of the family's 3401-position model. The record is from RNAcentral. Lineage: Eukaryota; Fungi; Ascomycota; Dothideomycetes; Pleosporales; Didymosphaeriaceae.